GGAAAAUACUGGUUUGGAAAAACGGAAAGGUGGGGGCCGACAUGUGCGAGCAAGCAGCAGCAAAGUUUUCUCUCUACGCACCAGAAACAUUGUGAAAGCAACGCUUGCCUGUCAAGACUUGAACACAGUACAGCAAUGCUUUGCUGCCUGCUUGCAUUCGGCCUUGCCUGAGGAACUGGACUGUCGAUUCAACUGACUCUGAAGUCUGGAGUCUAAACUAUUGACCUGCUUCAGUGUCUCUCACUCCACACAUGGGCCACAUUGGAAAUUGGUGACAGUAAGUCUCGACCAUACAAAGAUGGACACAGCAGAGAGAGCAGCUGACCUUGGCCAUAAUAUUUAUUGGUCAGGUAGGAGACCAGCUACAGUCAAACAAGUACGGCGCUUCAUGGGGUUUGCAAGCUUUUAUCGCCGCUUCAUCCAGAAUUUUGGCUCUGUCCCCGCUCCUAUAAAUGCAUUCACCAAGACCUUGGCAGGACAGCAUUGGACGGAUGGUACCAACCAAACAUUUUUGGAGCAAAAGCGACAUUUCAUCACUGCCCCAUUGCUGCAACAUCCAGACCCAUCAUAACCAUUCAUUGUUGAGGUGUAUGCAUCUGAUGUAGGCAUUGGAGCUGUCCUCUCUCAACGCUCAUCUACAGAUAGCCGGCUUCACCCUUGUGCCUUGCUUUCCCAUUGCUUGACUCCAGCUGAGAGGAAUUACGAUGUUGGUAACUGGGAACUUCCAACUGUCAAGGAGUCCUGGGAGGAAUGGCGACAGAGCAUCCUUCUUUGUCUGGACAGAUCACAAGAACCUCUCCUACAUUCAAUAUGUAAAGAAACUCAACUCUUUUCAAGUCUGGUGGGCUCUCUUCUUCACACGGUUCAAUUUCAUCCUCACCCAUUGUUCCAGAAGCAAGAAUACUAAGGCCAAUUCUCUCUCGCUUCAGUUCAAUGGAUCUGAGAACAAUGCCAAUCGAGAGCCCAUUCUUCCUCGCUCAUGCAUUGCUGCUCCGGUAAUCUGGCGAAUAGAGGCAGAGAUGAGCACCCACCAACAGUCAGACCCAGGUCCCGGUAAGGCACCUUCCAACCGGCUGUUCGUCCCUGCUCCCUGCUGUGGUGCAUUCCACAGUGUUGGAAUGGGCUCACUCCUCCCAUCUGGCCAGACAUCUGGGAAUUCAAUGAGACAAUUUUGGUGUCCAUCUGUGUCCCAAGAUGUCCACGACUUUGUAUUGGUCUGUCCCACCUGCAUUCAGAACAAGACAUCACACCAGCAUCCUGCGGGUCUGUUACGUCCACUGCCUGUGUCUCACCACCCCUGGUCCCAUCUCAGUCGUCUUCACCACUGGGCUGCCCCAUCUAAUGGAAACACCACUAUUUUGGUCAUUGUGGAUCGAUUUUCCAAUGCUUUCCACUUCAUUGCCCUCCCCAAGCUCCCAUCGGCUUGUGAGAUUGCCACACUCAUGUUUCAACAUUUGUUCAGGCUUCAUGGCUUUCCUCAACACAGUGACUGAUCAUGGACCACAGUUCACUUCCCACUUUUGGAAGGGUUUCUAUUCUCUUGUAGGAGCCUCUCACCUGGUUUACAACCCCAAUCCAAUGGCCAGACUGAGAGAGAACCAGCAGCUGGAGACAGCCCUGUGCUGCCUUGCCUCUUCCAGCCCAUCGUCCUGGAGUUCCCAAUUGGUUUGGACAGAGAUCGCCCACAAUAACCUCCAGUCAUCCUUUAACGGUACGUCACAGUCGUCCUCCAACAAUAUGUCUUCCUUUGAAAGCCAGAAGGGAUGCCAACCCCCGCUCUUGACUGAUCGCAAGAUUGAAGUAGGAGUUCCUGCUGCUGAACAGCCGAUCCAACGCUCCAAACACACCUGGAAAUGAGGCAGAGCUUCCCUGCUGUGCGCCCAGAAAUAACAUUCCUGACAGACUGAUCAGCUCCGUCAACAGGUAAGGCCAUUCAAACCAGGACAGGAGGUCUGCUUGGUAUCAAGGGAUCUCCCCCUGAAAGUCAAGAGCUGCAAAUUGGAACUGGGCUGCGUGGGACCGUUUGUAUUGUAAAAGGCUGUCAACAAGGUGGCAUAUAGCUUGCAUCUACCAGCAUCACUGAAGAUCCUCCCAGUAUUUUAUGUUUCCCAGCUGAAGCCAGUUAUUACCUCUCCCCUGGCCCCAGUCAACCCACCUCCCCCUCCUCCCCGCCUGGUAGAUUGUUCCUUGGUCCAUACACUGUGGCACCUCCUGCCAUCUCGCCGGGUAUGUGGUAAGGUCCGGUACCUUGUGGACUGGGAAGGGUAUGGUCCAGUAAAAUGUACUUGGAUCCCAGCAGAGGACAUUUUGGACAAGUCCCUCAUCCAGGAUUUCCAGUGGACACAGGGCUGUGGCACUCCAGGGGAUGCGCCUAGAGAGGGGCCCCUGUCACACACAUAAUUUGGCAGCGCAGCAGGUACAGCAGUUGUGCUUGUGAAUAUGCAUGUGUCAGCUAAUUAUUAUUUAAUUAUGGUAAUAUUUAACUUCAUUUUUUUCAUUGUAGUUCUUGUUGAGACUUCAGCACAGUCCUGUAACACUUUACUGCCUGUUUGAGUUCAGCCUUGCCUGAGAAAUUGGACUGUCUAGUCAACUGACUGAAAACAAACGGUAUUAGUUUUGUAUGUAGUUAUUCCUUUCAGCCGCAGUCAAGGCUUUAUUUUCUAUUUGAGAGUUUUAGUUGGCAGCUCUGGUUGGCCUAGCAUUUAUUGUUUGCUUUUCCCUUUUAACUCCAUUCACAUUAAAGUCUGAACUAUCAAUCCGCUUCAGUGUCUCUCGCUCUGCACUUGGGCCAUAUCUGAAUUUGGGGAAAAGUACACUGAUGGGGCCUAACACUUUGGGAGGAUUCACCCUCUUAUUUUGACAUUGGGCUCUGAGAUAGAAGUCAAAGAGUCACCAGAUUAUGUGGGGAUUUCCAUAUGUCUCUCUGUCAUACUGUGCUUUAAAGCAUCUAGCAUAUGUCUCCCGUACUUGAGUAAUAUAAUUUUUGCAUGAGGGAAUUGAAUGUUUCUUAAAAGUGAAAGGAUGCUUGAGAUGUACAGUGAAUAUAAUAUAGUCCAUCUGUUCUGAGUAUUCCUGCUUUGAGGUAGAACUUUUCGUGCACAUUGCAAUAUGAGCUUAAACAUGGCAUAUUACUGUUGACAGUAUGAAUUACCGUUCCUAAUUCUCACACGUCAAAACUUUGUAAUUGCCAAUUAUAGCCAUCAAGUAUGCUAGUCCAUUUACUUAUUUUUUUUAAGUGCUGUUUCUCUCUGUAAAUUUUAUCUCUAUAACAUUUGUUUGUUCACUUUUCCUAAGAUUAAUUCCAACUCACAAUGCCUCAGGGAAUUAAUGAAUGCAAAAUCUCAAACCUGAUUACCAGUGUUACGCUUAACCAUCAAAUUACUUUGUAAAUACGUGAAACUAUUUUAAGUGAAGCCUGACUGAUUGCUCCUUCCAUAACUAAAUUUGAACAGGUAUUUCUCAAUCAAUUCAUAAUUUUGAAUGAAAAUAAACACAAUGUUCCAAAUAAUUAUUACUGGACACUUCUUUGAAGAAUGCAAAUACUUGGGGAUAUGUUUUACUUGUCCCACAAUGGAGUAAAGCAAGAAUAGACUAUUUGGAAUUGCUAUUAGAUAUCGGACUAGAACUGGUCAAUCCAGCUCUAAGUCUGCUCCUCUAUUUGAUUGUGGUUGAUUUAUUAUUCCCUCUCAACCUCAUUCUUCAGUGUUCUCCCCAGAAACUUUGACACCCUUACCAAUCAAAAAACCUAUGAAGCUGUCUGUAGCAAUGAAUUCUACAGAUUCACCACCCCAAGCUGAAAAUAUUUCUUCUAAUUUUGGUUUGAAAUGAACAUCCUUCUAUUACAUUAUUUAUUAUUUAUAGGCUUUAUUUGUCACAUGUACAUCAAAACUGAUAUCCUAUUCUGAAGCUGUGCCCUCUGGUUCGAGACACUCCCACCACCAGAAACACCCACUAUACAUCCUCUCUAUCCUGGCCUUUCGUUAUUCAGUAGGUAUUGUUUGUCAUGUCAGAUAUUUAAUGGAAAGGCUUCCCUGUGGAGUGGCAUUAACCCAUUAUUCUUUCUAAUUUUCAUAUGCAAUCUGGAUUCAAAAAUGCAGAAUAAGAUAGUAAAAUUAAUUGGUAAUACUCAAUUUGAUUUAUAAAAACAGUCCAUAUAAAGUCUCAGAGAAGAAUUGCAACUGGGUUGAAUUCUUACAGAUAAAGUAUCUUGAAGAAUUUAUGAUGGUAAGCCUUUAAAAAGGAAAUCAAAAGGGCUAUUUUAUUUCAAGAGCUGUAAAAAUGAGUCAGUACACUUUUACCUCAAAGCCCUAUUGCAUUGUGUUAACUAGAAAUAAAAAAAAGCACAACUUUCAUGUGGUGAUUUUUAUGCCUGAUUUCAAUUUUCAUUGAAUCAUGAAUUAGAAACAUUCAUUUCACAGCUGCUCAUUUGGUCCAUUGGUCUGUGCUAAUAGUAAAGCAGCAACCUUCUAGCACUAGGAUAAUGGUUUUAUGACUGGUGGCUCUUGCAGUAUGAAUUCAAGUGCUGCUUCAACGUGUUUCUGACUGCUUCAGUGUUUCAGCUUUCCUAUUCAAGCACACUGUUCUCUACCACCCUCUGCAUUAAAAAGAUAGUCCACAUCUCCCUUCUAAUUUUUCUACCAAUUACUUUAGAUCCAUCACAAUUUUGUCUCAAUUACAUCUCUCUGUAUCUUUCGAUAGG
Molecule: long non-coding RNA, 4699 nt
Organism: Hypanus sabinus (Atlantic stingray)
Lineage: Eukaryota; Metazoa; Chordata; Chondrichthyes; Myliobatiformes; Dasyatidae
Exons: 3
Source: RefSeq, a predicted model, not a curated record